GAUUCACUUUAAUAGGAAAGCUGUUCUCUGUGCAGGUGACCAGCUGGGUAAACCCGCCACCACACCAUUCUACCAAUUAUCAUGAUGCCCUAUUAAAAAGUCAGGGCAGGGCAGGUCCCCGUUUGAAGGAGGCCGUAAAACUCCUUGUGCAGUGACUAUUAAUUUCGCUUUAGAAGUUUGUUGGUUACAUACAAAAGCUAAAACAAAAACUAGAAUAUUCCACCCAACAGAAAAUAAGCUCGAGCAAAUCAAGCUCUUUAUGUGGUACGGAUUAAACUACCAGUGUACAUUUUCGCUUUUCCAAUAUUUAUUUUUAUUAACCACUGUUCACAGCCUCUGAAACAUUAGAACAUUUCUACCUUUAUAAUGUGAAAAUUAGAUAACCAGAAAACAACCAGAAUACUAUAAAUGCACAUUUAAUGAGGUAUAAGGCAAUUCAAAGUUGACAUAUAAAUAAAAAUAUAUCCCUGUGCAUACUCGUGAAAUGUAUGUACAUGGAGUGAAACAUAGAAGGUCUCUUACCACCUGGAGUUAUUACUGUACUUUCCUUGCUGCCUCUCCAGCUAUUCGACAUCUGUUCCUACAACAGCUUCAGUGCCUGUAGACAGAAGCCUUAGCCACCCAAGGUCUGUUACAGCUUUGCCCUGCUACAUCUGCAAUCCAGACCUCGCUGCCAGCCAUCAGUCACCGGGCUUCUGCUCGUUCCUGUGGCCUCAAGUAUCAUCAACACUAAAAAUCUUUUUCAGCGUUAUGUUUAAAACAGCAAGAUAAUUAAUAACACUUUUUCCAUUGCCUAUCGAAGGUUAUCUUCAAAUUAGAGAACAGCAUUUGGUUGACUGCAUUUUGCUGCUUCCAAAGAUUUGGAAUGCCAUGCACUUGGUAUCUUAAUUCUACUGGAACAUGGCAUAGAGAGUCUGGCUUAUUACUGUGUUCACCGAAGUGGAUACCGAGCAACACGCCCUUGAAUAGUGGAUUCAUCUUCAAGGAGAGAUGGCUCUAACAAUGUAACCGGCUAUUGAAGCAACAGCUGAAGAGGAGGUCAAAUCUCAGAAGCCUGAGGUUAGUAAUUCUCUUUUAUCUGCACUCUCUAUUCUCUACCUAUUCCUUUUCUCUUUUGAAAUAGAAAGAUUUUUUU
RNAcentral lists this long non-coding RNA (1135 nucleotides) under Felis catus (domestic cat). RNAcentral's name for it is "lncRNA (ENSFCAG00000049275.1)". The record is from RNAcentral. Lineage: Eukaryota; Metazoa; Chordata; Mammalia; Carnivora; Felidae.